Molecule: ribosomal RNA, 762 nt
Filed under: uncultured bacterium
Lineage: Bacteria
Description: bacterial SSU rRNA
Rfam family: Bacterial small subunit ribosomal RNA
Source: RNAcentral
AGAGUUUGAUCAUGGCUCAGAUUGAACGCUGGCGGCAGGCCUAACACAUGCAAGUCGAGCGGAAACGAUCCUAGCUUGCUAGGAGGCGUCGAGCGGCGGACGGGUGAGUAACGCGUGAGAAUCUACCCAUGAGUGGGGGACAACCCGGGGAAACUCGGGCUAAUACCGCAUACGCCCUACGGGGUAAAGCAGGGGACCUUCGGGCCUUGCGCUGAUGGAUGAGCUCGCGUCGGAUUAGCUUGUUGGUGAGGUAAAGGCUCACCAAGGCGACGAUCCGUAGCUGGUCUGAGAGGAUGAUCAGCCACACCGGGACUGAGACACGGCCCGGACUCCUACGGGAGGCAGCAGUGGGGAAUCUUGGACAAUGGGGGCAACCCUGAUCCAGCCAUGCCGCGUGUGUGAAGAAGGCCUUCGGGUUGUAAAGCACUUUCAGCAGGGAGGAAGGCUUACCCCUAAUACGGGUGAGUACUUGACGUUACCUGCAGAAGAAGCACCGGCUAAUUUCGUGCCAGCAGCCGCGGUAAUACGAAAGGUGCAAGCGUUAAUCGGAAUUACUGGGCGUAAAGCGCGCGUAGGCGGUGUGUUAAGUCGGAUGUGAAAGCCCAGGGCUCAACCUUGGAAUUGCAUCCGAUACUGGCACGCUAGAGUGCAGUAGAGGGAGGUGGAAUUUCCGGUGUAGCGGUGAAAUGCGUAGAGAUCGGAAGGAACACCAGUGGCGAAGGCGGCCUCCUGGACUGACACUGACGCUGAGGUGCGAAAGCG